RNAcentral lists this ribosomal RNA (492 nucleotides) under uncultured bacterium. RNAcentral's name for it is "partial 16S ribosomal RNA". It matches the Rfam family "Bacterial small subunit ribosomal RNA", at positions 29 to 507 of the family's 1533-position model. The record is from RNAcentral.
AGUGAACGCUGGCGGUAGGCCUAACACAUGCAAGUCGAACGGCAGCACAGUAAGAGCUUGCUCUUACGGGUGGCGAGUGGCGGACGGGUGAGGAAUACAUCGGAAUCUACUUUUUCGUGGGGGAUAACGUAGGGAAACUUACGCUAAUACCGCAUACGACGUACGGGUGAAAGCAGGGGAGCUUCGGACCUUGCGCGAUUGAAUGAGCCGAUGUCGGAUUAGCUAGUUGGCGGGGUAAGGGCCCACCAAGGCGACGAUCCGUAGCUGGUCUGAGAGGAUGAUCAGCCACACUGGAACUGAGACACGGUCCAGACUCCUACGGGAGGCAGCAGUGGGGAAUAUUGGACAAUGGGCGCAAGCCUGAUCCAGCCAUACCGCGUGGGUGAAGAAGGCCUUCGGGUUGUAAAGCCCUUUUGUUGGGAAAGAAAAGCAGCAGGUUAAUACCCCGCUGUUCUGACGGUACCCAAAGAAUAAGCACCGGCUAACUUCGUG